RNAcentral lists this long non-coding RNA (1262 nucleotides) under Vulpes vulpes (red fox). RNAcentral describes it as "lncRNA (ENSVVUG00000005378.1)". Lineage: Eukaryota; Metazoa; Chordata; Mammalia; Carnivora; Canidae. The record is from RNAcentral.
CUCAGAUUUUGUAAGGAUCCCUCAGGGUCUGUCUGGAUCUAUGAGGAUCCCUCAGGCUCUCCUAGGUUCUGUGGGAUCCCUCAGGGUCUCUCAGGUUCUGUGUGGAUGCCUCAGGUUCUGUCAGCUUCCCUCAGAUUCCUUGAGGAUCCCUCAGAUCCUGUCAGCUUCCCUGGGUUCUGUGAGGAUCACCCAGGUUCUAUCAGCUUCCCUCAGGUUCGGUCAGCAUCCCUCAGAUCCCAUUAGCUUCCCUCAGGUUGUGUGAGGAUCCCUCAGGAUCCCAUUAGCGUCCCUCAGGUUGUGUGAGGAUCCCUCAGGAUCCUCAGGUUCUGUAGGCUUCCUUGGGGUUCUGUGAGGAUCACUCAUAUUCUGUCAGCUUCCGUCAGGUUCUGUGAGGAUCUCUCAGUUUCUGCAGGUUCCGUCAGUUUCUAUCAGGAUCCCUCCGAUCCCGUCAGCUACCCUCAGGAUCUAUGAGGAUCCCUCAGGUUCUGUCAGCUUCUCUCAGGCUCUGUCAGGAUCUGACAGCUCCUCUGAGCUUACCUCAGGAUCUGUGAGGAUCCUCAGGUUCUCUCAGAUUCUGUGAGGAUCCUCAGGUUCUCUCAGAUUCUGUGAGGAUCCUCAGGUUCUCUCAGAUUCGGUGAGGAUCCUCAGGUUCUCUCAGAUUCGGUGAGGAUCCUCAGGUUCUCUCAGAUUCUAUGAGGAUCCUCAGGUACUCUCAGAUUCUGUGAGGAUCCCUAAGUUUCCCUCAGGAUCUAUGAGGGUCCCUCAGGUCGCCUCAGGUUCUGUGCAGAUUCCUCAGUUUCUGUCAGUUUCCCUCAGGAUCUGAGAGGAUCCCUCAGGGUCGGUCAGCCUCCCUCAGGUUCGAUCAGGAAUCCUCAAGUUCUAUCAGCUUCCUUGAGAUUCUGUGAGGGUCCCUCCGGGUCUGUCACCUUCCAUCGGGUUCCAUGACAUAACCUUAGGUUCUCUCAGGAUCUGUGAAGGAUGCCUCUAGGUCCUCUCAGGUUCCAUGAGGAUCCCUCAAAUCCUGUCAGCUUCCCUCAGAUCCAAUACAUUUCCCUCAGGACUUCUAAGGACCCCUUAGGUCCUGUCAUCAUCCUUCAGAUUCCAUGAGGAUCCCUCAGGUUCUGUCAGCUCUCUCAGGUUCCGUGAGGAUCCCUCUAUCCUGUCAGCUUCCCUAGAUCGCCUCAGUUUCCGUCAGGAUCUGUGAGGAUCCCUCAGGUUCUGUCACCUCUCUCAGGUUCCAUGAGGAUCUCUCAGAUGCCAUC